UCGCGAACCAUUCACAAUGGACGCAAGUCUGAUGAUGCCACGCCGCGUGCGGGAUGAAGGCCCUUUGGGUUGUAAACCGCUGUCAAGGGAGGGGAAACACCUAGUGUUAACAGCGCUAGGCUUGACUGCUCCCUAAAGGAAGCCCCGGCAAAACAUGUGCCAGCAGCCGCGGUAAUCCAUGUGGGGCAAGCGUUGUUCGGAAUUACUGGGCAUAAAGGGUGCGUAGGCGGUUUGUUAAGUCACUGGUGAAAGUUUGCGGCCCAACCGUAAAAUUGCCUGUGAUACUGGCGAACUUGAGUGCGUGAGGGGUAGGGGGAACGAGCAGUGUAGCGGUGAAAUGCGUAGAUAUUGCUCGGAAGGCCGGAGCCGAAGGGGCCCUACUGGUACGUAACUGACGCUGAGGCACGAAAGCGUGGGGAGCAAACAGGAUUAGAUACCCCCGUAGUCCCUGAGCGGGCUGGCAAGGCGCAU
This 471-nucleotide ribosomal RNA is filed under the name uncultured bacterium. RNAcentral's name for it is "bacterial SSU rRNA". It matches the Rfam family "Bacterial small subunit ribosomal RNA", at positions 355 to 825 of the family's 1533-position model. The record is from RNAcentral.